UUACCUACGGGAGGCAGCAGUCGGGAAUAUUGCGCAAUGGAGGAAACUCUGACGCAGUGACGCCGCGUAUAGGAAGAAGGUUUUCGGAUUGUAAACUAUUGUCAUUAGGGAAGAUAAAAGACUGUACCUAAGGAGGAAGCCCCGGCUAACUAUGUGCCAGCAGCCGCGGUAAUACAUAGGGGGCAAGCGUUAUCCGGAAUUAUUGGGUGUAAAGGGAGCGUAGACGGCCAUGCAAGCCUGGAGUGAAAGCCCGGGGCCCAACCCCGGGACUGCUCUGGGAACUGUGCGGCUGGAGUGCGGGAGGG
Molecule: ribosomal RNA, 305 nt
Filed under: uncultured bacterium
Lineage: Bacteria
Description: bacterial SSU rRNA
Rfam family: Bacterial small subunit ribosomal RNA
Source: RNAcentral